AAUAAAUAAAUAAAAUGAAAUGCCCCAAGACACUCCUCCAAUCAGUAAAAUAGAUGGCACCCAGUCCUUAGAAAAUAUCCAAACCCUCAAAACUUGUCGGUACCAUCUUCCAAAAACAAGCAGCCUUCCAAAAUCAAAACCAUUUGCUGCUCAUUCCUCUCUCCAAAGCCUACCUCUUCCUCUUCUGUCAAUCUGGUUCCCUCCUCCUCCCCCAUAAUCUAUCAUUGAUGACCAUCGGAACAUUUCCAAUUAGGUAACUCUCUCUUCCAUUCUUUAAGCAAUCCGCGGCUAAACUAUGUGCUAGGAUAUUAGCAUAUCUGGGUAUGUGUUUGAGCUGGAUACUAUGAAAACUCCUUUUCAAUUGUUGUAUGUCCUAAAUAAUAGCCCCUAUCACUGAUUUAUCUCGAAUGUCCGACUGACUUUUUUUAAUAAUGGUUUUUGCAUCUCCUUCUAUGGUAACUAAUGAGAGGCCUAGAUGGUUUCCCAAAAGCAAGGCCUCAAAGUAAGCAUAUCCUUCCGCUAUAAAUGCCGAAGCGAUCUCCUUGUGCAGUGUCUGUUUUGAAGCCAAAAUCUCACUUGGAGAGUUACGAACAACCACUCCAGAUCUAGAUCUCACCAAAUUUUGAUUACAAGCGGCAUCAAAAUUAACUUUAACAUCAGAACCUAAUGGGGGACACCAUUCCUCAUUAACAAUAGAUCUGGUAAACUUCUUAUCUUCUAAACUGUCAAUCUCUCCAAUAUAUCUUGUUAUCUAGUUCGCUAUUUCUUUUCCUUUAAUCUGACUCUCGUCAUGCAGGACAAGAUUUCUAUUUGUCCAGAUUCCUCAUAUGGCACAAUAAAAUAAUUUGUACUGGUCAUUGGAACUCAUUCGAAAAACCCAGGUAAACCAAUCUCUGUCGUUCAAAUCUAGAUUAGAAAGAAUCUAGUUUAGAUUUAAAUAAUUCCAAACUUUUAUUGAUAUAGAACAUUAUCUAAAAACAUGAUACAAGGGCUCUGCUGCUCCACCACACUUGUGACACAGGACAUCUCUUCUAAUCCUUCUGUGUUGGAGAUUAACAAAAGUAGGCAAGAAAUUCCAAGUGGUUUUCCAUAGAUUAAUUUUUACUUUUGAAGGGAUUUUUAGAGAUCAUAGUUUUUUGUAUAGCUCCCUAGAAUCAUAAUGUGUAUAAUUAGGGUUAAAAGUACCUUUAUGUAAUAGUUUAUAGGAACUUCUGACAGAAAAUUCCCUUGAAGAUUCCCCCUCCAGACCCGUAUGUCUUCAAUCCCUUCUUUGGCCAAAGGAGUUCGUAAGAUUUUCGACGCAAUCUCUUCAAGAAAGGUACUAUUAAUUAGAUUUACUUUCCAUUCUCUAUCAUCUGCAUCAAUGAAGUUAAAAACUAAGUUUAACCCACCAGUAUUAAUUUAUUCAUUAAUUCUAUAGUUCGGGGAACCUGAUAACCAAGCGUCGUCUUUUAUUGAUAUAUUUGAACCUGAGCCAACUCUUCACCAAAGCCCGUUCUCUAGAAGACCCUUAGCCAUCCACACAUUUUUCCAAGUAUACGAAGGUAAAUUGUCAAAUCUCGUAUUAAAAAAAAUCAGAGUUUGGAAAAUAUUUCGCCUUUAACACACGAGAUAAUAAUGAAUUGGGAAAAUUAAUAUUACGCCACCCUUGUUUAGCUAACAAAGCAGCAUUAAAUUUUGCAAGGUUGUCAAAACCUAACUCCCUAAUCUCCUUUGGUUCACUCAAAUAAUUCCAAGUGCACCAAUGUAUACCUUUCUUACCAAAAUAUUAUUGCCACUAAAAUUUUGUCAUAAAACUCUCUAAUUCGUUACAAAGGGUCUUAGGCAAUAAGAAACAUGCCAUCGAAUAAGUGGGAAUAGCUUGAAGGACUGAUUUAAUAAACACUUUUUUGCCC
This 1895-nucleotide long non-coding RNA is filed under the name Gossypium barbadense (sea-island cotton). RNAcentral's name for it is "long non-coding RNA (GBAR_LNC020851)". The record is from RNAcentral. Lineage: Eukaryota; Viridiplantae; Streptophyta; Magnoliopsida; Malvales; Malvaceae.